ACGGGAGGCAGCAGUGGGGAAUAUUGGACAAUGGAGGAAACUCUGAUCCAGCGACGCCGCGUGAGUGAAGAAGUAUUUCGGUAUGUAAAGCUCUAUCAGCAGGGAAGAUAAUGACGGUACCUGACUAAGAAGCCCCGGCUAACUACGUGCCAGCAGCCGCGGUAAUACGUAGGGGGCAAGCGUUAUCCGGAUUUACUGGGUGUAAAGGGAGCGUAGACGGUUUGGCAAGUCUGAAGUGAAAGCCCGGGGCUCAACCCCGGUAUUGCUUUGGAAACUGUUGAACUAGAGUGCCGGAGGGGUAAGCGGAAUUCCUAGUGUAGCGGUGAAAUGCGUAGAUAUUAGGAGGAACACCAGUGGCGAAGGCGGCUUACUGGACGGUAACUGACGUUGAGGCUCGAAAGCGUGGGGAGCAAACAGGAUUAGAUACCCUGGUA
Molecule: ribosomal RNA, 434 nt
Filed under: uncultured Lachnospiraceae bacterium
Lineage: Bacteria; Bacillati; Bacillota; Clostridia; Lachnospirales; Lachnospiraceae
Description: partial 16S ribosomal RNA
Rfam family: Bacterial small subunit ribosomal RNA
Source: RNAcentral